GGUGACUUUGGAGUGCAUAUUGGGAAGCAAGUUGUUCCUGGAAAGCCAUGAGGGAGAACAAGAUAAGAGAUUAAAAGAUGGCCGUGAUUGCAGUUUCAUAAAGAAGAUAAAAAACAUCAAGCUCCAGCAUCCUCUGCUACUCUUCUCAAACUGUUCAAAUCUUCCCCUUUCUUCAAGUAACAAGACAAGUCCUACCUUCUUGAUAUCUUCUACAUCUUGGCUUGCACUAUGUUGAAUUCAUGAUAGCAAGGAAUGUGGAUAUUUUAAAAUCCUUUUUCCAAAUCAACUCAUGAUCAUGGAUGUCUAAUAAGGUGCAUUCACCUGUGAAAUGGAAGGAACACAGAGAAGAAGUGAUAAAGCAUUGAACAACUCCCAAGACCGAAGACUCUUCCUUGGCUGGUCUUCCUCCCUCAAUAUCCAGCCCUCUGGACCCAGAUUUCUGAUGUUCAGAAAUCCAAGAGUGGCUUACGUGGGUGGUUCUGGCUCAGCAUCUCAAAAGCAGAUGACUCUUCUAAAUAUAUGAAUACAAUUGUGC
This is a long non-coding RNA of Suricata suricatta (meerkat), 535 nucleotides long. RefSeq lists it as uncharacterized. NCBI's taxonomy places the organism in Eukaryota, Metazoa, Chordata, Mammalia, Carnivora, Herpestidae. The transcript has 7 exons. The record is from RefSeq and is a predicted model, not a curated record.